UUGUGUGCUAAAGGUUAGGAAGAACGGCAAGACCCUAAUCUUCCCUUCUGGAAGACCUCCCUGGGAGUAAUUUUGUUGUUCUGGCUUCUGCUUAUCCGUCUGCGCAUACGUAGUGCAGUCUAACACCUGUUGUAUUUCGGUGUAGGUUGUUGGUGAAGUGUCUGUCUUCUCCUAUUAAGACGCAAGUGCCUUGACGUGGAAACCAUGGUUUAUUGAUUUUUUUUUUUUUAACGCCAAGGACCUCCUGCACUAAAUGCCUGAAAUCAAGUAAGUGGGCUAUCGAUGUCUGUUGAAUGAUUGAUUGCUGGCUGUUUAAUUUGCAAACCCAUGCCUCCUAUUAAGUAAAUAAUGCAAAUAAUGCAAAUGUCACCUAAUCAAGAGGUCUUCCAUCACUGUUAUUCUUUAUUCUCUCAACAGUUUUCUUUUUCUUCGUCCCACCUGAAAUUAUGUUUUUUAAAUUUUAGUUUGUCUUUCCACACUAGAAUGUAAACUCCUCCAUGAAGGCAGGGAUUUUGUAAGACUUUAUUACUUUAGAGCAGUUUCAGGUUCACAGCAAAGUUAAGAGUAAGAUACAGAGAUUUCCCAUUUACCCCUUACGGAAGGGGUUUUGUAUUCACUGUUGUAGCCCUAGUUCAUAAUAUGCCAUUACAAGUGGUAGGGGCUCAAUAAAUUUUUAUUAUUGAUACAGUAAUAAUGUCAUAGACUCAAUUACCUUUAGAAGUUGUAUUUUCAUCAUUUAGGUCCUAUAAAAUUGAUUAGUAUGUAAAUCCCCAGGCUCUGCUACUCAUUUUAGCCUUACUUACGUAGCCACUGGCUUUUUUGUUUUUACGAACAUAAUUUUGUUUUGAACUUUUGAACCCAUGUGGCAACUUGGCUUUUGACAAAGCUAACAGCUACUAUUGAUACAAAAUUUCUGAUUUAAGCGGGGUCUGAGGAUGAUGGGGAAGUUUGACGCUGGGGCUCCAGAGCUAUGCUUCCUAUUAGGGUUAUUUUAGAUAUUCUCUUCCCACUGUGAUUUUUUCAGUAAAAUAAUUUCCCUUUUCCCCUUGUACAGAACAAGUUUUCCAGCACCUCCAUGCCUAUUUCUCAAGUGCCUGACACCUAGAGGAGCAUUUUUCAUACAUCCAGGACAUGACAUUGAGGGGUGACACCUUUCUGGGGGUGACAGUUUGGCACAGGAUAGACUUUCCUUCUGUUUUGUAUUUCUACUGCAAUUUAAAUGUUUGAGUAACUGGUCAGUUGGUCAUGAACUGCAUGUACUUGACCUUUAACAAUGAGACCUAGGGGUCUCACGUGUAGUUGAAAAUCUGCUUACAGCAGUGACUCCCCCAAGCCUUACCGAUCACAUCAAUAUUCAAUGAACACGUAUUUUGUAUGUUAUAUAUAUUAUACUGUAUUCUUAUAAUAAAAUAAGCUAGAGAAAGAAAAUGUUACUAAGAAAAUCAUAAGAGAAAAUAUAUUUACAGUUAUUGUACUGUAUUUAUAAAAAAACUGUACAGUUCAAGGGUCAACUGUAUACGUUUAGAAACUUUUGUACACUCUUGGGACAAGAUGGGGGAGGGAAUUAAGGGGACCAGUGUGCUUUACUGAAGAAUGAUACUUUGUUGCCAUUAAUAUCUUUGUAACCUCUCUUCCUACCACCAUAACAUGGAUACAAGGAUAUUUUUUCCUCCCCAAAGUAUUUUUCUGUUUUAAAUGUCCUGUAACUAUCCAUUGAUUCUUUCAGUAAAACUUCAGUACUUCAGUAUAAUCCUGUACUAACUUCAGACAUUCAAAAACGUAUUUUUAAUGUAUCAUAUUACAUGCUUAAAGCAUGCGAUGUCAUAUGAAACAUGUAAAACAAACAUUUACAAACCAUUAGCUCAAUAACAAUCAUAAUAUAUGGACAAAGUCAACCUGACCAAGCAAUGAAAAGAUAUUUACAACCAAGUGGAAAAACAAAAACAAAAUAGAAAAGAAAAAUAAAUCACCGCCUUGAAAUUUUCUGUAAAUAAUGACUUCUUUCUUUUUCUUUCUAAUUAUUUUAAAAUUUACAGAAGUUAUAUAAGCUUUUUGUAAAAAGUCAAGCCACUUGAAUACCAAUGGUCAUAAUAGUGUUACUCACAGGAAGCCAAAAAAGUGGAAACCAUCCAAAUGUCCGGCAACUGAUGAACGGGUAAACAGGUGAUGCAUAUAUACAGUGGAAUGUUAUUCGGCAGUACAAAUGAAUGAGGUGCUGAUGCCUGCUAUGAAAUAUGUGAGCCUCAAAAAAAUUAUGCUGAAUGAAAGAAGUCAAUCAUAAGAGAACUUAUAUCGUAUAAUUCCAUUUAUACGAAAUGUUCAGAAUAGGCAAAUCCAUAGCGACACAAAGUAGAUUAGAUGGGAGAGGAGAAAAUAAAGCACUGGGUGUUUUACACAACAAAUGAAUCGUUGAACACUACAGCAGAAACUACUAAUGUACUAUAUGUUGGCUACUGAACAUAAAAAAAAAGAAUAAUUGUUAAUGGAUACCGUUUCUUUUUGAGGGUGAGGAAAUGUUCUGGAUUUAGACAAUGGUGAUGGUUGCACGACUUUAUUAAAUAUACUAAAAUCCACUGAAUUGUUCAUUUAAAAGGCUGAAUUUAUGAUAUGUGAAUUAUAUCUCCAUUUUUAAAAUGCUGAAAAAAAAUAUUUAUAUCCUCCUUUAUUGAAUAAGAACGAGUGUGUCUUUACUUUUCCCUUCUUCACCCACCUGCCUUGUAGUGUCAUUCUGCUACUUCUGGGCUGCAGCAGAUUGUUGUAACUGUGCCCAGAGAGGCCGGCCCAGGGGACAAAAAGGGUCUAAAAUCUUAGCUGUGCACUCAUUCUACCUGAAAGAAGGGUGACUGUUUUUUGGGGGGGAGGGGCAAAGGGGGAGAGAGAGAAAGAGAGAAAGAGAGAGAGAAUCUUAAGCAGGUCCCAUACCCAGCACGGAACCCAAUGCCAGGCUUAAUCUAAGACCCUGAGAUCAUGACCUGAGCCAAAAUCAAGAGUCAGAUGUUUAACCGACUGAGCCGCCCACCAGCCCCAAGGCGAGGGACUUUCUCUAAACCAUGCAGAAGUGCUUUAAGAACUAGCAGUGGCCUUAAUCAUUUUAAUGGGCUUUUAGGGUAGUCAAGGUUGGUAAAUAUAUAUAGUCUACUACCUUGGAUUAAAAGUCAAACACUUCAUUACACUAUAAUACUCUAAUGGACUUACUAUAAUGGAUUAUUUUCCAGAAUGGAACACCCUUUGGCCCUCUCUUCAUAAGUCGGGUUGAAAAUUUUGUGAUUAAUCUCAAAAAGCACAUUUCUAGUUUGAAUGUGUGUGAUACAGUUCCUUUAGAUUGGCUUUUUUUGUUUAAAAAAGAUUCAGUGUGUUGUUCAACUUUACAUUAUGAUCCUCCAGUAGUUUUUAUGUUUCUAUCACUAAAGUACCACCACUACCAAGGGGAUUUCCUGAUAGUUACUUGUUCUAACAAUGCAACUUUUCUGACAGCAUUCUUGUAGAUUUCAAAAGAGCUCAAAUAAUAGUAUUUUUGACACUAAAUUUAAUCAGUGAGUCAAUGCACAUUUAUUGAAUUACUAUUGAAAAUAACACUCAAUUUCAAACAGGAAGAACCCCCAAACCAUGGUACUUUACAUAUAAAGUGCUUAUGUGCCUGGUGCAUAGUAGGUACUCAACAAAUAUUUGGAAAUAAAUCAGUGGAUCACGUGCAAUUUUGUUUAUUUAUGAUACCUAAAAAUCAGAUACUGGCUAAUAACCAUAGAUUUAAUAGGUCCUUAUUUCCAUCUUCAGAGAAAAAAAGAGAAAUUAUCUGAUGUAAAAAAAAAAAAGUGAUAUAAUUAGUGACUACUUCUAAGAGAAGUCCCAGAAUUCGUGCAAGUUAACAAUUGUUUUAGUGCUAAGUAUUUGCAGUGUUUUAAGCUGCAAAUUUUCAUCAGUGAUUUUUUUUUUUUUGGCUUCGUUUUCUGUUUGUUUGUUUAUAAGAGAAGUAUUUACUGUUAAGUUUCAGGAUUACUCAAAAGAAUUUCCAUAUAUAAAUCAAUAAUCAGUGGUUCUCAAACCUGGCUGCAUAUCAAACACUUAGUAUUUUGUUUUUGGUUUUGUUUAUGUGUUUGUUUCUAAUCCUAGAAAGGUGGAAUCCAGAAUUCCUAGACUAAUUAGAGCCACAUGGUUGAACUCAUGAAUCUUUGAUUUAAGAAGCAUCGUAAAUGAUAUUUUGGGGAGCCUGGGUGGCUCAGUCAAGCAUCUGACUCUUGAUUUCGGCUCAGGUCAUGAUCUCAGUGUCCAUGAGAUUGAACCCGGGCAUCAGGCUCCAUGCUUGGUGUGGAGCCUGCUUGAGAUUCUCUCUAUCCCACUACCCUCCCUCCACACUUUCUUUCUCUCUCUCUCUCUAAAAAAAAAAAAAAAAAAAAGCAUCCUAGGUGAUAUUUUAAGUUUCAUUCUUAACCACUCAAACUCUUUAUGAACAUUUUUUUCUUAGAAAAAAAUGGAAGAUUUCAAAUAAUGCUGAAUUCUCAUCCUGGUUCCCAAUCUUGGUUCCUUCUCUCCUUGCCUGACUUGGGAGCACUUCUUGUGCACAACUGAAAAAUUUUGUUAGAACUCAAAAAUAUAAGGCCAGAUUUUUAAUGUUGUUAUUAUGUGAAUUAGAGAGUACAAGUCCCAAUAAAGAGAGGGAAGAAUUGCCUUUUCAAGUAUUUAAGGGCAUCAUUUAAGAUGAUAUCUUACCAAAAGAAUCUCUUCCUUCUCACGGAAAAAAAAAAGUUUAAUUCCAAUUACUCUUAGUAAGAAAUGUGAGCCAUGGAAAUAGUAAACAUAUUCAGUAUGUGGGGAAAACAGUUGGUAUUCAGUAAACACCAAGUAAUUUAUUGGCUUGGCAAGGCUCCCUUGAACUCUAGUGUAUAGUUAACUCUUACUUAUCUAGGACCAGAUUUACUAUUUUGUAAAUGUUUGUAAUGUCAUUGAGCUUCUCCCCAUCAUGUUGCUAAAUUCCAGGCUAUCAGUAGUACUCCUGCAAGAGCAAUGGAAUCAAGUCAACAGUGGGCUAAUAUAGUUGGCUUUCAAAUCCUUAUUAAGUACAUCCUUUUUGUCACACAUUGUGUUAGGUUGAAGGACAAAAACCCUGCUUUUAGGGAGUUCACAGUCCUGUAGAAGAAGCAGAGGCAGACAAGAUACAACAACAACAACAAGACACUAGAAUACCAAUGCGCAAAAUUUAGGUUUUAAAAAAGCUUAUUCUUGUCAUUUCCAAAAAAAGAGGGGAAAGGAGAGAGGAAGCUGUGCUUACUGGGAAAGUUGCAACAUUCAGUUCGAAACCUCAGACUAACCAGGAGAGAAGACUGAGGAGAUGAGCUAAAAUUUAGCUUCUAGAUGAGAUCUUUUGCUCAUGUCUUAUGUUUUUCCUUUUAAAAAAAGUGUGUGUGUGUGUGUGUGUGUGUGUGUGUGUGUGUGUGUGUGUGUUUUGGGUGCAUUUCACGGUAGAAAAAUCUCUUGAAUAUUCUAUCGUUUACAAUAAAAAUUGAAAAGCAAAUGAAGCAUGUGGAACUGUUCUCAGAUACAGAUAAAGACAGACCAAAAUUAAAUCUUCACUUUCGCAUUUUGAAUUUCAACAGAGCUAUGGUACGUUUCUUUAAACUCUGAUGUUUGGCUGCACUCAUUUUCAUAGUAUUUUUUUGCAGUUAUCUUAGCAAAUGCUUAAGAAAUUGAAAUUGACAAAACCAGUUCCAAACUAGUAAAAUGAUCCGUAUUUAUUUCUUCAUUGAAUCUUUUUAUGCAUCUUCCAGUUUCUCCAUUUAUCAGAAUUCGAAGCCGCUGUUGAAUUUGUUGUCUUCCAUUUAAGGGUUUGGUGGUACAAUCUACAGUAAGAUGUAUAUAUAUGUAUAUAUUUGUAUAUGUAUAUGUACGUAUACACUCAGCUUUGUUCUAGACGCUGGAGAUACAACACUGAAAAUUCAGGAAAAUUUCCUGAGCUUGCCGUACACCAAGUUCUUUCCCAAAAUAGUCUGUAAAGGUUCUAAUGAUCUCUACAGCAGUAUCAAAAAUAAUUCCUUCUUUCUAAUUUGGAAAACAAGAACAUUAGCCAUUAUUUGUUUCUUAGUAAUUUUCCACAUGCCAGUCAUCCUAUCUUGGAACUUCUCAAUCUCAGACCAAACUCCUCUAACUGGUGUAUGACUUUUCCCAUGUGACCCUUUAAAUAAAUUCUAAGGUUUUUCCCAUAAUUAAUUAAUCUCAGAAAUCAAAAUGAAACAUGUCACCAGGGUCUUAUUUAAAGCCAAGAAAUUUAUUGGCUACCAUCCAGGCUUCCUUCUAAAUUAAACAACCCCAAACACUCCUCUUACCAUCCUUGCUUCUUGAUUUUAGGCAUUUUCUCCCCAGACAACUGGCGCAUGUAUAAGAGUUUUGACAUGUCUGUGUUUUAACCAAGAUCGCAUUUAUGUUUUCUUGUGAUGAUGCGUAAGGAAACUUUUCUCUAAAAUGUUCAU
Molecule: long non-coding RNA, 6461 nt
Organism: Ailuropoda melanoleuca (giant panda)
Lineage: Eukaryota; Metazoa; Chordata; Mammalia; Carnivora; Ursidae
Exons: 3
Source: RefSeq, a predicted model, not a curated record